UCCUGGUUAGCUCAGUUGGUAAAACGCUCCACUGGAAAUGGAGGUCCCUGGUUGGAGACCAGGAACAGGCG
This 71-nucleotide transfer RNA is filed under the name Ixodes scapularis (black-legged tick). RNAcentral describes it as "tRNA-Ser for anticodon GGA". The record is from RNAcentral. Lineage: Eukaryota; Metazoa; Arthropoda; Arachnida; Ixodida; Ixodidae.